GAAAUGCGAUAAGUAAUGUGAAUUGCAGAAUUCAGUGAAUCAUCGAAUCUUUGAACGCACCUUGCGCUCCUUGGUAUUCCUUGGAGCAUGCCUGUUUGAGUAUCAUGAAAUCUUCAAAGUAAAUCUUUUGUUAACUCAAUUGGUUUCUACUUUGGUAUUGGAGGUCUUUGCAGCUUCACACCUGCUCCUCUUUGUUCAUUAGCUGGAUCUCAGUGUUAUGCUUGGUUCCACUCGGCGUGAUAAGUUAUCUAUCGCUGAGGACACUGUAAAAGGUGGCCAAGGUAAAUGCAGAUGAACCGCUUCUAAUAGUCCAUUGACUUGGACAAUACUUUUAUGAUCUGAUCUCAAAUCCGGUAGGACUACCCGCUGAACUUAAGC
This 378-nucleotide unclassified non-coding RNA is filed under the name plant metagenome. Its description in RNAcentral is "partial contains 5.8S ribosomal RNA, internal transcribed spacer 2, and large subunit ribosomal RNA". The stretch from base 1 to 105 matches the Rfam family "5.8S ribosomal RNA", at positions 50 to 154 of the family's 154-position model. The record is from RNAcentral.